CUAUGUCUCUGCCUCUCUCUCUUUCUCUCUCUGUGACUAUCAUAAAUAAAUAAAAAUUAAAAAAAAAUAAACCUCUGAGCCAACCAUGGAUCCCACAAUUCACCAAUUUAAAGUGGUUUUUAGUGCAUUCACACAUUCAGUGUUUCCUAAUAUAUUCACAGAGCUGUAGCAUCAUCACAGAGUUGUACCAUCAUCAGUGUACACAGAUGAUUAAUUAUAAGUUGUACACCUGAAACUCAUAUAAUGUUAUAUAUCAAAUUUGCCUCAAUAAAAAAAAAUUGGAAGAUGCUCCAAAAGUGAACUUAUUAGUGGCAAGAAAAUAUGUGAGAUAUAAUGAGAGAAAGUUUAAAUAGUAAUGGAAUGAUACAUAAACAAGGAGAAAAAAAUAUGAGAACAAAAAAAGUUGGAGAGGAUCAUGGACAGAAAAAACAAAUGAUGCUAAAAUGAGUUUGAACCAGGGACAUAUUCGAUCUGCCUUCAUUAAACAAACACAUCUGGAUUUUGUAACAAAAAGAUCAAGGUAAGAUAUUUGGGCAUGAUAAGAACAAAAGAAACUCUUGAUUUGAUGGUACUGCAAAUAUUUGGAUAAACCAGAAUCUAUAUAAAUCUGCAGGCAGCUGGAUAUGAAUUCCAUCUAUGGAAGACACAGAUAAAAAGGGUUUAGAGAAAUGCAUUCACUUUGUAGUUGCUAGAAAUCUCUACUGUCCUAGGAAAGUUGACAGCGAGAUACUAAUUCCCAAGCAAUGAAUACUUAACUAACUGAACAUCAAUAAUGCCCUGAUUUGGUUAAGAGUAUCUGAGAAUAUAAGGAGAGCUGGAUAGAGGGAAAAGGGUUCCUGACAGUCCUGACAAACGUAAUCAGCACAAACCACGCAGGAAUAUUCUUUUUGGCUCAAAGUUUUGUAUAUGUUUUUAUAAAUCAUUAUACAGCACAGCUCAAAAGUUGUGCAGCUGGGAGUUGUCUUUGGCACCAGUAGGAGCAAACUUUACUGCUUAUCUUAUAAAAUCUAUUAGUUUGGCUACUAUUAACUCUUGUUUCCUUAAUUAGGGCUGUGCCGUGACUGCAGCAAUUACUCUAGUUCAACGUGAGUAAAAUAAUGGAAAUGUACACAAGAUAGCUAUGCCCAUGGAAAAUCCGUUCUUAUAAAUGGGUAAAUGUCAGAUUAAAAAUAAAAGUCACCAGUUUUUGAACUUGGAAAUUGCAAAGCAAGGCUGGGGCAAUAAUUUAUAACAAUUAAAAAUUUGAGAUCAGACUAUUAUCUGAUGGGAUGGAUCAUCUUUAAAAGAAUUUUAGUGGUGAUAGUUUUUAUAAUCUGUUGACUAUUCAAAAUCACUCAUCUUAUGGCUAAUGGUUGAUGUAAUUAAUCUGAUUCCAAAUCAAGCAAUAAGGAAUCCUUGAGAAU
This 1403-nucleotide long non-coding RNA is filed under the name Canis lupus familiaris (dog). RNAcentral describes it as "lncRNA (ENSCAFG00000055639.1)". Lineage: Eukaryota; Metazoa; Chordata; Mammalia; Carnivora; Canidae. The record is from RNAcentral.